CGGCGGACGGGUGAGUAACGCGUAGGAACCUACCUAAUAGAUUGGGAUAGCCCAGAGAAAUUUGGAUUAAUACCGAAUACGCCCUACGGGGGAAAGCAGGGGAUCUUCGGACCUUGCGCUAUUAGAUGGGCCUGCGUGAGAUUAGCUAGUUGGUGGGGUAAAGGCCCACCAAGGCGACGAUCUCUAGCUGGUCUGAGAGGAUGAUCAGCCACACUGGAACUGAGACACGGUCCAG
This 235-nucleotide ribosomal RNA is filed under the name uncultured bacterium. RNAcentral describes it as "partial 16S ribosomal RNA". It matches the Rfam family "Bacterial small subunit ribosomal RNA", at positions 96 to 334 of the family's 1533-position model. The record is from RNAcentral.